RNAcentral lists this long non-coding RNA (200 nucleotides) under Oryza brachyantha (malo sina). RNAcentral's name for it is "long non-coding RNA (OBRA_LNC000525)". The record is from RNAcentral. Lineage: Eukaryota; Viridiplantae; Streptophyta; Magnoliopsida; Poales; Poaceae.
AUUACAAAUUUAUCACUAGUUUGAAACGUUAUUACAAAUCUACUACUAGAAAAUUGCACAAAUGCGACUAGAACUAUCAUUUUAGUGGCAUCCUUGCAAUUUAGCAAAACCAAUGGCAAAUUUACAAAAGCCCCUUCUUUUUAUUACUCGCACCACUUGUGUCAUGUCCGUGUGAGUUAUUGAGGUUGGAUUUAGCUAUG